GCACACUCAUACCCUAUUAUUUAUGAUUCUUUUCAGGUUAAGGAGUUGACGGCAAGACGGCAGACAUGAGCUCCACAUUCUCCCGUUCUAUUAUAUGAUGAAGUAUUAUAUGUUGCUGUUUUUGGUAAAUAUAUCUUGCUACUAACCAACUUAGCCUCUUCCAAUUUUGGUGGGUCGAGACUUUAUAUAUAUUGGUUUAUGAUCAUGCAUUUUGAUGACGGCUGUGACCGAAUAUAUAUAUUUUUACUAUUUAGUUACGAGCUGUGCCUCGAACACGUUAAUUAUAUUUAAACUUGAUGGUUUUGAUGUACUCCACUUUUUAUAUAUAUAAAUAUGAUGCUUAGAUAAAGUUAUUAUUGAAUGUCGUUUAUAUAACUUACAGCUUCCUUGCCUUUGAUAUAUAUAUAUAUAUAUUUAUAUAUAUAUAUAUAUAUAUAUAUAGUUGGUGUAUAUUAUUAGUUAGUUAGUUAGUACGUACGUUCCGUUACUAUUUUUUUAUAUAUUGGAAAAGAGAAAUAAAAUUUUGAUAAUUUUUCUAUUACACAUAUAGUAGUAUUUUUAAUAACUCAUUGUUAAGUAUUAUUACUUUUAAUAGUAAUAUUUUAUUAGAUUACUAUAUAAUCAAAAAAGGAAAUUCUUUUUUCUAUUUUUCUUUAUAGCCUAUACUUAAAUUAAUAUUAGAGAAAUGAAAUAAAAUGAAUAUUUUUGGUAGCAUCUCUUAUUCGCAAGGGAUGGGGGCGUUACAGUAAUGAACGAUAAGCGUGGUCGCUGUGUGUUUGCAAUCAAUGAAAUAAGCUGUGAGAUUUGAGCCUUGACUGUCAUUAUUUUACAGUCUUAUUUCUUAUUCUUGAGUGAUUGUUCGAGCAUGCAUGUUUCUCACUAGAAUUUGUCUUGGUUUCUCCCUCGAGGUCACAUAGUGUGCUUAAUAACUUUGAGAUGAUAGAAGGCCAUCUUUGCUAGCCUAUUUAUCCGAUGACUAUAUAUGAUCCUAGUUCACCCCAUUUGAGCCUCAUUUUUCCAUAUUCUUUGAUUUAGCUAUGGGUGAGAGCUUGGAGAUUAUUUGAUAGGAGAUAAUUGGGUUGUGGAGAUGAAUGGUCAUGAGUUAUGUUUUGUGGUUUUAAAUUGAAAAUUCUAGUACCCUACAAGUUGUUGAAAAAAAAAUGGUGAAGAAAAGAAAAGAAAAAAAAAAGUGAGAAAAGAAUUGAAAAAAAUGGGUACAUAGGAUGCAUUAGAGAGACAUAAUGUUAUGAGAAAUAAUUGUUGAGUUGUGAUGGUUCUCGUAUUGAAAAAUCUGGUUUUAUGAGAGGUGGAAGAUGGUAUGGAUUAAGAAUGCUAUAAGGUUGGUGAUUGUGCUACAUUGAGAGUAUCUAUUAGUCACUUAGCCAAAUUUAUCCUACCUUACCAAAUAGCCUACAUUACAACCCUCAAUAAAGACCUUUUUGAUCUUGGUUAUAAGAGCACACAUUAAGUGGUGGAGAGGUGAGACGAUUGACAAGCUUAUGGUUGAGUACUUGUUUUGCUUGAACUGAGUGUAAACACGUCCGUAUCUUUGAUUGAUACACUUGAGAGUUGAGAGUUCUUAUAUUAUUUAUCUUUUUGGUGAGGAUUGCAGGUCAUUGAGACCACAAUUUGAAGUUUGUCAUGAGUGUGAUAUCUUGAUGAUUGGAGAUACAAAUGCAUGUUGUUAUUUUUGUUGACAAAUCUGAAGCCACAUUGUUAUCCACUUUUCUCUACACUCUUGUUGAUUCAUUCUUGGUUCAUCUUUGUUUUGUCCGAGGACGGACAAUGGUUUAAGUUUGGGGAGUUUGUUUUACAUGCAAUUUUCACUCCUUUAUCGCGUUAUUCUUUAGUGUUUUGGGCGUUUCUAAUUGAGUUGUUGAGUUGUCUAUGGUUUAAAUUGCAUAUUUUUGUGGAAUAGACUACUCGUCUGUGCUCAUGUUGUUUUUACAGGUUUUGGACUCAAUUUGGGAUGAUUUUGAUAAUAUAGAGAUAAGUACAUGAAGAGACGAGUCCGUAGGCGAAAACAAAGGUCGAUUCGGACAUCGGACGAGGAAGAACGAGCGUCGGGAAGUUUGCAGGUCGGAGCGCACGCGCUGGAGGUCGCGUGAUCCGGGCAUGCGGCUGCAUGCCACGGCCGCGCGACAGAGCAGGACUCGCUGGACAGCACACGCGGGCGCGGCACGCGGCCGCACGAGCUCACGCGGGCUAGGCAUGCGGCCGCGCGAGUCGCCGAAUUUCCGCCCAAAAGUUCGUUUUUUAGCUGUAUACGCGAUUUUGGGGUAUUUUUGAGUCCUACUUGACCUAGGUCAUAAAAAUACUCCCUAAGAACUUAUUCUCAGGACUUUUUUUUAUCACCUUUUAUCACUUUUCAUGAGAGCUGUGAGAGACAGAGAACGGAGCCAGAGCAAGAACUGAAGAUUCUCGAUUUCACUACGGUUUUAUUGUUGAAUGUUUUUUUUGUUUUAUUGAGACUUUGAUUCUAGUUCAUAUGUCUAUGUGUGGCUAGAAUCCCUUUUUCCCAAGGUUUAUGGAGUAGACAUGAUUUGAAUUUCUGACUGUUUGAUUCAAUUAAUUGAGAUUGUUAUUCCUUUUUAUGUUCUUGUUAUAAUUGUUUGCUUUAUUGCUUAAUCACCAAUUUAGCAUAAUCAUAGGUAAUAAUUUGAGAUUAGGAGAUGAUGAUUUUUACCUGAACUAAGAACAUAGAACACAUUUAUUUUAAUUCUAAAGGGAAUUGAUAUGUGUGAGGGCAUUAAUCCUAGGAACUUUUAGGAGUUACAUGUUAGAAGUGUGAUCCAGGGAUGAUAACCUUGCAUGUAAUCAAUGGUUUGUAUG
This 2832-nucleotide long non-coding RNA is filed under the name Salvia miltiorrhiza (redroot sage). RNAcentral's name for it is "long non-coding RNA (SMIL_LNC005043)". Lineage: Eukaryota; Viridiplantae; Streptophyta; Magnoliopsida; Lamiales; Lamiaceae. The record is from RNAcentral.